Molecule: ribosomal RNA, 324 nt
Filed under: uncultured bacterium
Lineage: Bacteria
Description: bacterial SSU rRNA
Rfam family: Bacterial small subunit ribosomal RNA
Source: RNAcentral
GAUGAACGCUGGCGGCGUGCCUAACACAUGCAAGUCGAACGAGACUGAUUAGAUUGAGAUUUCGGUUGAUUUCUAUGAAAGUCGAGUGGCGGACGGGUGAGUAACACGUGGGUAACCUGCCUUACAGAGGGGGAUAACAGUUUGAAAAGACUGCUAAUACCGCAUAAGCACACAGUACCGCAUGGUACGGGGUGAAAAGAUUUAUCGCUGUAAGAUGGACCCGCGUCUGAUUAGCUAGUUGGCAGGGUAACGGCCUACCAAGGCGACGAUCAGUAGCCGACCUGAGAGGGUGAUCGGCCACAUUGGGACUGAGACACGGCCCAA